RNAcentral lists this unclassified non-coding RNA (215 nucleotides) under air metagenome. RNAcentral's name for it is "partial contains small subunit ribosomal RNA, internal transcribed spacer 1, and 5.8S ribosomal RNA". The stretch from base 1 to 46 matches the Rfam family "Eukaryotic small subunit ribosomal RNA", at positions 1786 to 1831 of the family's 1831-position model. The record is from RNAcentral.
AAGUCGUAACAAGGUUUCCGUAGGUGAACCUGCGGAAGGAUCAUUAACAAAUCCGCCGGGUAGCUAUAUGUAUGUAUGGGUGCCUGGCACGUUUGCGCUCCCAUGGGGUAUACCGUGGGAUGCACACAUGUCUUUAAGCAUUAUUGUUUUAUGAUAACACAUAUGUGGGAUAGUAAAUAUUACAAACACUUUUAACAAUGGAUCUCUUGGCUCUU